AUUCAAUAAGCGGAGGAAAAGAAACUAACAAGGAUUCCCCCAGUAACGGCGAGUGAAGUGGGAAAAGCUCAACUUUGAAAUCUGGCUGUUUUACAGUCCGAGUUGUAGUCUCGAGAAGUGUUUUCCGCGUUAAACCGUGUAUGAGUCUGUUGGAACACAGCGUCAUAGAGGGUGAGAACCCCGUUCAUGACACGGCUUUUAAUGCUUUGUGAUACACUUUCGAUGAGUCGAGUUGUUUGGGAAUGCAGCUCAAAUUGGGUGGUAAAUUCCAUCUAAAGCUAAAUAUUGGCGAGAGACCGAUAGCAAACAAGUACCGUGAGGGAAAGAUGAAAAGCACUUUGGAAAGAGAGUUAAAAGUACGUGAAAUUGUCGAAAGGGAAACGCUUGAAGUCAGACGUGCACGGGAUUUAUUCCUAUUGCAGGCCAACAUCGGUUUUACGAGCCGGAUAAAGGUACAAGGAAGGUAGCAGUUUCGGCUGUGUUAUAGCCUCGUACUGAAUACGGAUUGUGAGACCGAGGGACGCAGCGCGCCGCAAGGCAAAGGGUCCGCCCUUUUCGCGCUUAGGAUGUUGGUGAAAUGGCUUUAAUCGACCCGUCUUGAAACACGGACCAAGGAGUCUAACAUGCUUGC
Molecule: ribosomal RNA, 631 nt
Filed under: Erythrobasidium hasegawianum
Lineage: Eukaryota; Fungi; Basidiomycota; Cystobasidiomycetes; Erythrobasidiales; Erythrobasidiaceae
Description: LSU rRNA
Rfam family: Eukaryotic large subunit ribosomal RNA
Source: RNAcentral